CUGAAAAUACCAAUGAGGUUUUGGCUCGUUUAAUGAUAGCGAACGCAGACCACCCACCUCACUGCCUCACACACGUUGCAAUAUUGUGAGCGGUAACGCAAUCCCAGCCUUGUCUAUUGGCGUCCAGUCCGAGCCGUCCGAUCUAUUAGACCGUCCGUGGUCCGGUGGUCUAUCUCUUCCCGAGCGGGACUGGGGAUAAACACGGAGGAGAAGGAAGAGGUGAUCUGUAUACCAAACACUCGAGACGGCUCUCGUGUUGUAUACACCGACGGGAAUGUCCUCCAUUGAAAUGGCCACCCCGGUGAGGAACGGAAGAUGAAUGAAUAAAUGUGAUUUUUGGAAGCCAUGUUGGAUAUUUACAUUGAAUGAAUCAUCAUACUGAUGGCGCCGAUCAGUCUGUCGAUAACGAAGAAGCUGCACGCGCCCCUUUACGUCGCCAAUGGGUGAGCACGAGCGCCAAUUUGCAGUGCAGCACAACCUGUGAAGGACCUGGAAGACCAUGACCCAAAAACACACCGAUGUGGGCGACGGAUAGACGUCCGGUCCCUGUCCGCCUUCUACUUCAAUUCCAAACUCUCCAGAAGGACCAAAGCGACACAACCCUUGUCAUCUUCUCCGAGGAUCCGCGACUUUUGCGAGCCACGGUCAAAACCCAAAAGGUAACGUGGACUUUUUACAGUGCAGAGUCCAAACGGGGAUCUUGGGGGACACCAUGAAGGCACCAAACUAAUUGAAGCGCAAAUAUACAAAAGAUAUAAAUAAGAAUGUAAGCCGUAGUACUGCGUGUAGCGAUGCCACUCCUUGUGGUAUUUUGCUGACACUGGAAAUGUUUUUAUUUUUUUAUGAUGCCCACGUCCUAAUCUCGGCCAUUUUGUCCGGAUUUAAAAGCUCCCCAGACUGAUACUUUCAUACCUCGUCGUCUUCUGCCGAGGGCGGGAAUGUUUUCGGAAACCAGUCGCAAGUCGGCUGGACCCAGAAAGAUAGA
Long non-coding RNA from Syngnathoides biaculeatus (alligator pipefish), 985 nucleotides. RefSeq lists it as uncharacterized. The record is from RefSeq and is a predicted model, not a curated record. NCBI's taxonomy places the organism in Eukaryota, Metazoa, Chordata, Actinopteri, Syngnathiformes, Syngnathidae. The transcript has 5 exons.